RNAcentral lists this long non-coding RNA (22796 nucleotides) under Malus domestica (apple). The record is from RNAcentral. Lineage: Eukaryota; Viridiplantae; Streptophyta; Magnoliopsida; Rosales; Rosaceae.
AAACCCACCCUCCCCUCAAUUCCUCUGCCUCUUCUCUCUUUCUUGCUUUCCCUUUCUCAAUCAAACCCCAGGCUCUCUCUCUCUCUCUCUCUCUCUCUCUCUCUCUCUCUCUCUCUCUCUCUCUAUCUCUCUCUCAUUUUCCCCAAAUUUUUCUAUUUCCCUCUCUCUCUUUCUGUCUCGCCUCUCAUCUCACUUCUAAAGUCAAGUUCACAUCUCACGCAGAAACAUAAUUUGCAAAUCAUUCCCCUUUAAAUUUCACACAGACUCACACAUACAUUCUCACACUCUGCAAAUGCUUCUCCUUCACACAGACUCUGCAAAUUCUUCGUCUUCACACAGAAUUUGCAAAUCAGUCGACCUCAACUCUCAUCUCAUCCACAGUUCCCCUUCAGUUUAGUGCCUGCAUAAUGUGAUUCCUUCAUCUCCACUUCGUUCCAGGUAAAAUGGUAAGAACUUAGAUCUUGUAUUGGUUAAUUUAGUUAAUAAUUUGUGAUUAAUUUUAGGGUUAGGGUUAAGGUUAAGGUUCAUUUGAAACAAAAGGGGAAUUGAGCUUUUUCCUCUUUUAGGUUAUAAUCAAAAGGGGAUUUGAUCUGGUUCAGAUUCAAACAAACCCAUUUUUUCCUCUCUCAGACUCCGUCGAUGGAUGUCGUCUAUCAGCUAGACAACCUCCGCAUCAAAUCAACAACCAUUGCAUCAGCUGACAACCACCGCAUCAUGGACUCCUCCCAGAUCUGGGCUUUUCCUUUGUUAUUUUUCUAUGAUUUUUGUGUAAUUUAUUUAACUUUUUUUUUUUUUUUUUGUAUUUGAUCCCGCAAGAAACUCAAAGUCUCCUCAGGGAACUUGGUAAGUGAUUCACUUUUUUCCCACUAAAUAUUUGGAGCCUUAAUUUGAGAUUGUGCUUAAAUUCGUUUGAUUUGUCUACAAGUUUGUUUUAUAAAGAAAAUCAAAAGAAAUGUGAGUUUGAUAGUUGAUUUUAGGCUUUAGGAUGUAAUAUAAAUAUUCUAAUUUUGUUGGGGUCUAAUUGAUGGAACUCUGCAUGAGAGUGUGAAGCCUUUUCUCAUCUAAUUUGGAUUGAAAAUUGUUCUACAUUGGUGUUCAGUAAAAAUGGAUAUCUAUGGUUCAUUAACACUUUUCUUGCUCUGUGAUAUAAUAUUGAGUUUGGGCGCCGGUGAGUUGCCAUUUCAUAUCUUUUUCUUGCUCUGUGAUAUAAUAUUGAGUUUAGGUGCCGAUGAAUUGCCAUUUAAUAUCUGCCAGUUUAUUCCUUAAUCAAUUAAAAAAUGAUAGAUGAGAUUAGGAUAACAUCAUUAUCAUUGAAUGUGAAAAUUUGUCAAUGUCUUAUAGUUAAUUAUGAUGCCCAUGACGAGAUGUGCAUUUUUUUUCAUUAUACUUAUGUGUUCUGUCAAUUAAACUCCAGACCAACUACUAAUUACCUUCUAAGUUCCUAAAAUUCAUGUUUGUUAUAUGUUGUAGGAAAUGACCUAUUUUGAGAUUUUUUUUUUUUUUUUUGCAUCUCUCUCUCUCUCUUUUAUUCUACAUUCGAAAGAGGUAGAAUUGCAUUAUUGCGACUGUGGAUUGCUUUUUUCAUAUGUUAAUUUGUGUGAAGAUUGAUUGCCAUGCAUGAAGAAAUUAAAAAUGUUACUAAAGUGGCUGGCAAAAGUCCUUAUGUUUCAAUCACAAACGAGUGCAUGUAUACAUAGCAGAAUUACACCAAUUAAUAUGUUGGAGGAAGGAUAUAUAGCAUCUCAUCAAGUAAAGAAAAGGAAUCAUGAUUUAAAAAUUUGGAAGCCAUUACAUACUCAUUCUUGUUGCUCUGUGUAAAUGAUGUCACCUUCAUUUUCAAGAGCUUCUUGGUAGUCUAAAUUUAUAGUUCAUUUUUUCAGCGAUAUCCAAUGUGAUAAUGUAUUUUACUGCUUGAUAUAUUUCUUACUCAUGGUCAUUUUUUAAAGGCUGUCAAAGCAGGGGAUGUCAAUACUGGGUUAUUUGUGGUGGUUGAAGGUUGUUUGGCUUCCGACGAAUUCAAAUGCAAUGGUAUUCUUAGGAAUUAUUGGUUUCAUUAUCUGUAUGAAUCGGUUUGUAGAACUAAAUCAUAAAAGCUUGUUUUUGCCCUACCCAUAGUUUAAUUGCCUGAUCUACAAGGUAUUCAUAUUUGGUGGGUCGAUUGGAUGGUAUCCUUAGAAGAUAUACAAAUUUUUUUAUCAAUCUCUGCAAGGAGAAAUGGCUUGAGGGGUUUGUUGUUUUGCAUUCUAGUUAUACUAUGUCUUCUUGGAAUUGUAUAUAAGAUGCACUUUUUUCUUUAAUUAUUCUUAAUAAAGACUAAAGAGUACCAGCUUUUGUUUGUAUGUUUGUCUUGUUACCAGAGAUUUGGAAGUACCACCAAGCUGGCCUCCCUAUUUAGACAUUCCACGCUUUGAAGAUUUAAGUAUCACUGACAGUUAAGACUCAUUUCUCCAUUGUUUAGUUGUAUAUUUGUGAAUAUUCUAUUUAUCCAUUGUUUACAAUAGUUAAGACUCAUUUUCUCCUUUAAAAUUGCAAGUUUAUUGAUGAUGUAUACUAGAUAUGUCAUUAAAAUAAGUAACUCACUUUGACCCUAAAUAAUAUGCAAACUUACAUAUUUUUUCGAUUCAAGUGACUAUGAGCUAAAGAAAUGUGUUGUCUCAAACCCAGAAGCUUCUUUAACAACCUGGAGUGAGGAAUAUGAAUCUUUGAUAUGGCAGAUCUGGAACUUGUACGAAUUGAUUUUAACGAACUCCUUUUUAGGUGUAAUUUUGGACUGAUUUUCGUUUGAAAUCGCCUAUAUUUGUUAUGGCUUCUGAUGAGGUGCAAGGCUUGCUGAGGAAAAUGCAUAUGUCCAAAAAUAUGUGCUUUCAAGUUUUAUUGUAUUAGAGAUAAAAAAAGUAACAUUACAUUAUGUUUGUGAGAUUGGGAAUGUGUUGUAGGCCUUUUCAUUUUAAGAAAAUUAAAAAUUUUCAUUUCCUCAAUUUUAGUUUCAAAUUUUGAUUUUCUUUUUUUUUUUUAAUAUUUAAUUCAUGUUGGCACAAUUACAAUGUGAAGUGCCAACUUGUGUGGAAAAGGUUAUCUAACAAGUUGUCAGAAACGAGGCACAAAUAGUGGUUCACUUGUGUCUGCCUCUUUGAGCCCAAACAGUCUAUUGUGCUCUUUUAGCAAAAGGUAACGCCGCCUAUAGAGGGCACAAAUAGAAAUAGAGGCCAUAUUUUUUGUAAUGUUACUUCGUGGGACAUGCAGGUCAAAGGGCUACAUAUUAUACUGGCCUAAUUACACUAUGAAAAUUGCUGAGACUAGCCAAGCAAUCUUCAAGGCAAUGACGACUCUACUUCCAACCCAAGAAAGUUCGCAUUUGAGGAAGGAAAUGAUGUAGUUACUGAGAAUGAAAAUCAGAAUGAGAUGGUUGCUUUUUCUGGGCAAAUGGACGAUGUGGAUGUUGAUGACAAUCAUGAAGAUCAGAUGAAUGUUAAUAAUGAAGAAGGUGAAUAUGUACAAGUUCAAAAUGAGAUUGAAGUGCAUGCAGAUGUCACGAAUGGAGCACAACUAAUCAUGCAGCACACAUAACCUUAGUGCAGCAUGCUAUUGUUUCAUUAAGAAAGUCAACUAGGGUUAGGAAGUCAAAUACUAUGGAAGAUUUUGUAUAUGUUGCUGAAGGUGAGUCUUACUUGUAAAAGUUUGAAGACCCUAUGUCAUUUAAAGAAGCUAUGUCCAGUGACAAUUCUAAAAAAUGAAUAGAAGCAAUGAGAAACGAGUUGAGUUCUAUGGAAGGUAAUAAUGUAUGGGAAUUUAUGGAACCACUUCAGGGAGUUUAACCAAAGGGUGUAAGUGGGUGUUGAAGACAAAAAGAGAUUCGAAAUGAAGCAUUGAGAGGCAUAAGGCGAGGUUAAUUGCAAUGAAUUUACCCAGAGGGAAGGGGAUUGAUUACAAAGUUAUUUUUAGUCUAGUAUCAACCAAGGAUGCAUUUAGAGAGAUCAUGGCGUUGAUGGCACAUUUUGACUUGUUUUUACAUCAAAUGGUCGUCUCGAAUGAUGAUUUUGAAGAAGAUAUAUACAUGCAUGGCUCAACCAGAAGGUUUCAAGGAAGAAGGGGAGAAGGGAUAGAACAUUUGGUUUGUAUAUUGAAGAAAUCCAUCUAUGGAUUGAAACAGGUAUCAAGAUCAAUGAUUGUGACAACAAUGCAACCAUAUUCUUUACCAAGAACAACAAAAGGGUCCAAUGCUACCAGAAAUUUGGAUAUCAAGUUCCUUGUUGCUCGUGCAAAGGUGGUGGAGGGUUUGGUUAAAAUAGAUUACAUGGAUACAUCUUCUAUUAUAGUUGACCCCUUAACCAAAGCAGUCCUAGUAAUGGUCUUUAAGAAGCAUAUGCAUAACAUGGGGGUUUUACAGAAUUUUGAUUUCAUGGAAUAGUGGGAGCUUAUGGUAUGAUUACAUUAUUUGUUUAUCAAUCAUGUUUGUGUUUUAUUCAUGCAUUAAGUUAUUUGUUUUCAGUUUACCGUAGCUAAUAAAGAAAUAAACUGCUGGUCGCACAAGUUUCCCAUGUUUGUAGUUUAUAGAUAUGAUACAUUAGAUUUUCAAUGUGCUAUUGGGAAAAUCAAUUUAUGUUAACUGUUAUUACAGAAGGCAACUUAAGGGUCUCAAUGUGAGACAAUGAAGAAGACUCGUUGACUGGUUUUAUUAAAGAUGGACUAUAACACAAGGUGCAUUACAGAAACAUUCAAGUGUGCAUGUUGUAUUAAUUGUUCAUGUCUUGUUGGGGUUUCAUGUCUAUGACAGUUUCAUGAAAGUGAUUAUGGGGAUAGUGUUUAUGAAUUUUAAGGACCUGAUUCCCUUUAGUCCUCCAUGAAUACUAGCUUAUGACAUAUACUUGUUGAUGGGAUUUUGUUGUUCCUAUUCUCAUGGCCACUCAAGUAUGAUUCCUUAUAUGGUGGCCUGUGUGAAAAGCAUUGGCUCUAGUGGGAGAAUGUAAACUAAUUGGGGCUGCACACUUAGUUUAUCACGAGCUUAAAGGAUUGAAGUCAUAAGAGAUUAUGAUAGACUAGACUUGUAAAGCUAUCAGGGAAUGUAUUUAGACUAAUAUAAAGUUGAGAGUAAUCCUAGUAUGAAUAGGUUUAACUAUUCUGAUAUGAUCACUUUGGUUUGUGGUGAUAAGGUAAUCUGUUUGGAUGAUUUGAUUAGGAUUACAUGAUGGAAGUAACCUAAUCAAAUACCACCACUAAGGAUAUAUAAUAGGGGUCCUGUGUUCACACUAAAUACGCAAAAGCAAAAGAACAAGCCCCAUUGUUUGUUAAUUACAUACAGUUUUGUCGGGUGUAGAAGAGCUCUAUCUUUGCAGCAACAAUGAGUUCUCAAGGUGAGUGGUUAAUGGAUUUGUGAUUUGUUUAUUCUGCUAUUAAUUAUCUUACAUACGCUUCUAAUUAAUUGGUGUGUAUUUGUAUUAGUUUACCAUCAUAUGAAGGAUGUAUAAAUCGCUUCAAACUUGGCAUAAUUUUUUUUUUUUUUUUUAUAAAUUUGCAUAGUAAUUAUGAACAAUGGUUGUGUAGAGAUCUAUACAAUUACACUGAUCGAAAUAAAGAUAGUCUUCUACUCUCACAAAAUUGGAUGCUUAUGCUUUCAAUAGGACUUAGCACACUAUUAAGCUUAUAUUUGGAGAGCAGGGACCAACUUUUUUAUAGUCACAUAAGGCCUAUUGAUAUCCAUCUAUUAGGAAAACAAUAGGUCUCUCAAUAACUCAUAAUUAACUGCAAUAAGUCCACUAUAUUAUUAUUUUGAAUGUUUCAUAUAACCUACCAUUACAAAACUCUAUUAACUUAAUCAAUACACUUCUAUCAAACUAAUGAUUAUGUCUACUCAAAUUCUUACAUUCUCCCACUUGAGUAUACAUAAUCACAUAGUAAUGGACUAUAUAGAAUUAAGUUAUCAAUGAUCACUGAGUUUAUAUAACAAGAUUAUCAACUUAAACAUAGAUGUAAUCAACUAAAUCAAACCCAGAACUAUAGAGAUGUUGAUGCAUAUCAGCUGCAUCAUUACUCUAUAAUCACUGAAGUUUAACUCAACUGAUCACAAAGCUACAUGCCAAAUAAUGUAGUAUUGGAAGUGUCAUAUCUUAAUACUCCCACAUACAUGAUUAUCAACUAAAACAUAAAAUCACAAUUAACUAGAGUCAAUACUAACACACAAAAAUUAGACACACACGUGACCUGAGGAUGAAGAAGACAUGAUGCUAAAAAUAAAGAUAGUCUUCUACUCUCACAAAAUUGGAUGCUUAUACUUUCAAUAGGACUCAGCACACUAUUAAGCUUAUAUUUGGAGAGCUUGGACAAGCCUUUUUAUAGCCACAUAAGGCCUAUCGCUAUCCACCUAUUAGGAAAGCAAUAGUUCUCUCAAUAACUCAUAAUUAACUGCAAAUAAGUCCACUACAUUGUUGUUUUGAAUGUUUCAUAUAACCUACCGUUACAAAACUCUAUUAACUUCAUCAAUACACUUCUAUCAAAAUAAUGAUUAUAUCUAAUCAAAUUCUUACACUAAAAGAUUGCAAUUUGAGGUAAACAAAUAGAAACUAUAAAUAAAUUAAUUUUAGUUCAAAUAUUGGAUAUUUUUCUAGAAUUUUGUUAUUGUGAUGUUGAUUCUUGGAAGAACAUAAGAGGACCAAUUGGUUAUUGAAUUUAAUUACAUUCGACAAUCAAGUUCUAUUGUUCUUACUCUCUUAAAAUCUUAAAUACGAACUCUUUCAUCAACAAGGAAAAUAAUUGAGCUUAAGACUAGAGUUGACAAAUAAGGCGACGUACUAAGUUUUUUAUUUCGAAAUUUAUAGAAAAGUAAAAGUACUUUUCAAUUACUUAUAAAAAAAAUUAAGCUUAAACUAUUAGGACAUGUGAGCACAAUCCUUUUGUUCUCUUUUCAAGUCUAAGAACAAGUUUUCGUUGAUGCUGCAGUCAUUUGCUCCAUGGUAACCCCAUAAUUGCACAUGUUGGCAAUAAUUCUUGUGUAUUGCAUUCCAUAAUUUGAGAGUGCUCCACAAUAUUUCUCGUAAGUUUUCACCUGCAUGGAAGAUCAUCUCAUUAACUAGCUAGCAUCAAACAAGUUGGUUUUAACUAGGGUUUAGGUAUUUGCUUAAACAAAUAGAUCAUGUACUUGUAGUUCAUAAUUUUUCAUAUUACUUGUAUAUAUAGUUGUUACUAUACUAAUUCGUAAAAGAAAGACUUACAAAAGUCUUAAAGCAGUUCCAGUCAUCCACAAGAGCUUGCCCGUUACGCCGAAUAUUUUUCAUUUUUGAGCUAGAAUCAUAUCGAAACACUAGUUGCGCGAUUUGAUUUAUAUUGUCGUCGAUGCGCUCCCGACGAUACAUUUCAGCAGAUAGUUUCUGUUUAGCUUCAUGCUUCUCAUGAGAGCCAUCAGGAGCUUUACGUACCUGGAUGAAUAUAUGAUAUAUGAAAAGAAUGGUUGCAGCUCAAAAUCACAUUUUAAGAUUUAGAACUAAUCCCAAGUUUAAGAAACAAUAUUUAUAAAGAAAAAUUACGCCGAACAAUUUUGUUCUACCUAAUCCUAGCUAUCAUUAGGGUUUUUUUUUUUUUUUUUUACGAAAAUAAGACCGACCGAAAAAGUUGGUCAAAGAAAUUAAUAAAUUUAAUUUAAAAAAACACUAAGGACUGGUUUGGCAUUGCUGAAAUUAUUUUAAAAGCAACUUUUUAAUAAAGUUGAGGCUAAAAUUGUGUUUGGUAAAUGAAACAAAAAAAAAGUGUUUUUUUUUGUCAAAAUCAUGGAUCCAAAACAGUAGAAAACAGAAGCAACUCUACCCCUACUUCAGAAAACAUCGUUAUUUUUUUUCACAGCAUAACAACCCCAAACUAGAAGAGAGAGAGAGAUCACAGACCUUGUGCAAAAAGUGGAGGAGGUCUGCAUCACGUUGGUUAAAAACUGGCCCUAAGAAUGAUGGUGAGGAUUUAGUGUUGGUGUAAGUAGUAGAGUUGUCAUCUGAACCCAAGUAAGAGAAGAGUAAAUCCUUGGCUUGGUUCAAAUUUCCGUAUUGAGUAACAUGAGACCCAAGUCCUUCACUAGUAUUUGCGGUUCUAUUUCUAACCUGUAAAAAUGUAGCCAACAAAUUAAUAUAUGGUUCAAAUAAUCAAGUUUUUUAUUUUUUUUAUUUUUUGAACAAACGAUUUUAUCUACAUUAAGGGAGAAGGGGUACGCUUAGCUUCAUAAUAAACUAACAAUAAUGUAGUUCAAAUUCAUCUUUGGCGAUAAUCGAACCUAAGACCUCUCUUACAAAUUAAGAGGAAUACCAUUAGACCGUAAUACUAAGUGGCGACUCAAACAAACAAGUUAAAGUUCAAAUAAUGGAAGUUGACAAGGCAUAUUAAUAAAUAUAGUUUUUUUUUUAUAAAUAAGUAUUGAUAAAUAAAUAUAGUCAACUAGUCUGGUUUAUAGUUUGUGUGCUCAAUCUCAAGAUAUUAUGUAUAAGCUUUUCUUGGUAAAUAAUUACAAGGCAAAAGUUUCGAUUUCUUACCGUUUCAUAUUGGUUUGCAAAAGUUUCUCUUCGUAAAUCUUUGACAUCGCUGCUCCCCAAUUUACACAAAAACAGUAACAGAAAAUUAUUCAAAAAAUCUUCACACUUUCAAAUAAACGGUACGUAUUUAAUUAGUACUAGGGCCUGAAAAUAUUUUCAAUGAUAUUUUAAAUAUAGAAAGAAAUGUUUAAGGAAUAAUUGAGAACACUUCAAAUGCAUAAACGUAUCCGGUGCGCAUUAGACAAACAAAGUGAGAUUAUUGAGCACAGUACAAAGCACAUCCAAAGGUCUAGGCUCACUUUCAAAAAGGGACCUAAAUUUUCAUGUUUUUUAGUAUUUAUAUACCAAUGACUCUAGAUCAGUUAAUGUUCUCAAAAUAGUAUUUAUAUACCAAUGACUCUAGAUCCGUUUUUAAAAGUGACUUCAAACUUUUAUAAUUAGCUCGAGAUCAGUUAAUGUUCUCAAAUUAGUACUGAAUAUCACAUGCGUUAUGCUUACCAAUCUUCCAUCCAAGAAAUACUAUACAAGUCUCCCAAACAAGUGUCAUAUCCUGCAGGAGGAGCAGGAUCAAAACCAGGACAAUAUGUCGCCCAACUAUCUUGAGUUGCAUUUGCCGCUGUAGUCGCAUAGAUACUUAUAUUACUUGGAAGCAGACCCUCGAACAUGCUCCCAGAUUCACAAGAUUCUAGGUAAAAUACCUGAUUAAUUUUGGUAAUUACAUAAAAUCAUUAAUUUGAAUUUACAAAUCUACAAAGCAAGAAACCUUUUCUUUUAGCAAUUAGUUAUAUAUUGUACAGCUAUCACUAUUGUACUGCUUGACAAAAAUUCAAGGAAAAAAAAAAAUACAAUGACGACUUAUUUACCAUUUUUUUGUAACCCUUAGCUUCAUGCUUCUGUUUCAGAACGUCCACGAGAUCGUUAGCAUACACGUAAUCGCCUUCAGGCAUUCCUAAUUAAUCACCAUCCAAAACUGAUCAGGUAAUCUAUAUUAUGUCCAGGUUUAUAUAUAUAUAAUACACACUUGAUAAACAGUUAACCAGUAUUAUACAAAAUCCUGCUAUAGAAAAUACAUUUUUAUCAAGUAAUUAAAGUUACAAACCAAUUAUCCCAGAGGCGCCAUGGUCGGUAUAAUAUAUAAAAACAUUGUCAUUUGGACCGCUGUCCAGAAUCUUGCCACUGCCCCCGCUGAGAGCUGUUUUAUUUCCAAGAAUAACAGCAUAAAGAUUGGCAGCAGUAACAUUUUCUCCAGUGUAAUCCUACCAAAAAUAAGAAUAACAUAUGAAACAUAAUAUGUGGCGCAUACUUGAAAUAUCAUAUUAAGCAGUAAUUUCGUAACACCAAAUCAGUAUGUCACAUGUGUUACGAUGGUCCUCCAUCAUAAUAAGAUAGUAAAGAACCUUGGGAACCCCUUUGUAAACAUCAGGGCCAUCUGGCUUAUUGAUGAUGACACCAGGUCUAGGGUUCUCAACGUUGUUUGCGAUGUCAUCGUACAUAAAAACAAUGAUGUUUUCAUCUUUUAGUCCACCUUUCUUCAAUAUUUGAUAUGCAUGACACACAUCGGCCUAUCAUAUUGUGAGAAAUCAUGUUAGAAAAAUAAUACAUAAUUUAAGAGAUGAAAAGAAAUAAAAACAAGAAGAAAAAAAUUGCAUUUUCCAUUACAUUUCCAUAUAUUUUCUUGACAAACUUAUAUAUCAUACAAAUGCUUAUAUAUAAGUUGCUUUCGACAAAAAAAAAUGCAUAUGUAGUCUGAUUCUGAAUUGAGACAUGUGCUAACAAAAAUCAAUGAUCUGAUAUAUAGCAUGUGCACAGAGUAGUAAGGACAUAUACAUGAUCGAUUAAUGGCUUAAGAUGCACAGUAGUAUACAAGAGAACAUUUCUCAUGUAUUUAAUAGUCCUCUUCCAUUGAGGGAUCUCUUGUAGGGCCUAAGCCCUAAUUAAUGUAUUUCAAGGAUCCAACUGUUUAUCUUAGAGUCUUCCCUUAAAUACAACUAGCAUAUGGGCACACACAAAGUGUGUGAGAAAUUUUUUUUAUUUUUGUUUUUGAAAUAGAAGGAGAGAGGAAGAGAGUGAUAGAGAAUGUGGGAGUGGGAAGUUUUUUUUUUCUUUUUUUUUAAUUUUUUUUAAAUUAGAGAUGUGUUAGGAUUACAUGUAGGUGAGGCUUUGAAAAAAACAGCAAAAUUUGGUUGUGUGAAAUUACAUUUCUACCCCAUAUUUCUUCUUCAUGUUCUAUUUUAAUUAGAGGGUUAAACUGGUAAUUUCAUAAGGUUUUGGUUGACAAUUAGAGUUUUAUUAAUUAGUAGAGAUUAUUAUUAAAAAUCACCAAAAUCUGCAACCAUAUGAUUGUUUAAUUAAAUGGUAAUCAUUUUAGUGUUUCUUUGAAGAACUGCAUUCAUCUAUUUUCUUUACUACAAUUGGAUCUUAGUGAUUUUGAACUUGUGUAACUUAUUGCAAAAAUAAUCUAUGAAUGAUGAAUUAAAAUAUAAACAUUUGAAUGGUUAAGAAAAAGUUACGCAAUCGGCUCCAUAAGUUGUCCCUCAAAUAAACUUAUUUGAAGGAUCCUCAACGUAAUUAAAGGGAUUAUACUCAUACAUAUACUCAUAAAUAACUAACAUAUAUUUAAUGAAAGUGAUUAUAUAUACACCUGAUGCCUAUAGUUGCCAUAACCAAACGACCCAGCAACUAAGACUGCCCAUCUGGUUCCAUUUUGCUGAUCAGCCACAGUAGAAGAAGAUGAUGAGGCAGUAUUAACAUGAAUGAUGAAAUCCUCCGGAAAUUCUGAUGGCAUCAACUUGAAUCCAUUUGCGACGCUUUCACAACUCAAACUUAACAAAAUCGCAAUCAAUAUUAAAAAUGUUCUCAUUGUUUAAGCUCAAACUAAUUAAGUGUUGUGUGCUCUAAAUAACAAGCGUAAAAGCAACCAACUAUUUAUAGGGGAUUUGAAUUCUUGUUUGAAAAAUUAAUUAAUGGUCCGGAUUGAAACUUCGAUACGAUUAGAUAUAUGUGCAGGCUACGACAAUUGGGUUAAUUAACUUGUAUGCCGCGCAAGUUAAUUAAAUAUAAUUGUUGAUGUAACUGGGUUUUGUAACUUCAUCUUUUUAGAAUCCAUCGACUCUUCUUAAAAUAAAAUAAAAAUAUAAUUGUUUUCUAAUGGAAAGUUUGUCACGACUAACAUCACAACAUGUACUUCGAUGACAACAAUAAUUGGAAAGCUAGCAAAUUAUUCAUUCUUUUUCCUCUAUCGAUCAGGACAGCAGACUAACCUUUUCUAAUAUAGGUAGAUAUUGAGUCAUUUAGUAUUAUGAUAUAGUGGUUUUUUUCUUUAUUUAUAAAUAAAAGAUCUUAGGUUCGAUUCUCGCCAAAAGUAAAUUUGAACCACUUUAUUACAAGUAUAUUGUGAGGCUUAGCCCACCAUCCUCCCUCUUAAUGUAGAUAAUAUCGUUCAUUCAAAAAAAAAAAAAAAAAAAAAAUAUAUAUAUAUAGACAUUGAAUUUUUAGUGAAAUAAAUUUUUACUAAUAAAUUAAAUUUUGAUUCGCUAGGGCUUAUGUAGCGCAUGUUAUAGGUCUCGUCAAAUUACACACAUUGUAUGUGACUCAUCAAAGCCGAACGAGCCAUCAAGAGUGACACAUGUCGACAUCUGAGUCUUCUGUCAAACAACUCAAAUCAAGUAAAAAAGAACAAAUUAACCCUCAUUAAUCAAAUCCCUCAAUUAUGGUUUAAUUCCUUAAACUGCUGAUUCAAAUUUAAUUCAAUUACUUUCAAUUAAAUCAAAUCAGAAAAUCAAUCCCACAAAUAGGUAAACAUUUACAUAACAAUAUUUAAAUUGAUUGAUUUUAAACCAUUUGGUUCGGGUCUUUAAAUCAAAUAGCAUCAUCUACUACUUUUGGCAAAUUCUAUAUCCUUUAGUUGGAUUCGAGAAUUUUGGACAAAACUCUUAGUAAGGUAUGAGAGGCCACCUUUACUAAGCCCACCUCACAAUGACAUGAUGUUGAGUAGCAUUAAUAAUAAUGAGAGAGUAACUCUUGCUCAUUUACAUCUCUUGUAAGUUAUUUGGCCUCCAAAGAAUGUCACCCUCACAAUGAUAUGAUAUUGGCGCCAUGGCAUUAGUUAAGUCUUUCCCACCAUGCAAAUUCGUAUGGGGUUCAAGAAUAACCUCAAAAUGAUAUGAUGUUGUCACUCUCGUUGCCUACCUUCACAACAUCAUGUAUGCAUAUAGAACUCCUCCUAAGUGUAAGCACAUGCUUUGUACUCCUUCCUGAUAGGAUGACAUUGGAGUACGAGUCACAAACGAUUAGAGCUUACCACAGUGGGAAGCGACUAAAGAGUGUUCAAAGAACCCUCAUGCUUGUCAACUUAAUAUUGGUUUGAUCGAGGGUUUUUGAUCUCAUCACUUAUUAACAGUCAUUUUAAUCUAAUUAAAAUUAUUUGGUCCUAUCACAACUAUUAUCCAUGUGAUUUAUUUAGUAGCAUAUGUCCCACUAUAUUUAUAUAAAACGGUUUUUGAAGUAACACAAGCCUAGUGUUGGAUCUCGGUCUAGGGAGGGUGAUUGAUUUCAUUUACGCGUUUAAUCAAAUUAAUGUGUGUUUUCGUAUUGGGCAUUGAACACAACUACUCCAAUUUGCAUGCAUAUCAAAUAAAACAUAAAAUAAGUACUUCAAAGCAAGAGGAUCUUAUGCUCUUUUACAAUACAUUUGAUCUAAUCAAAUCUACAAAUUCUCAUGGUUUAAACAAAUUUGAUAGACGGUCAAAGCUCAAUCAGCGUAGACUUAGGUUUAUAAUCACUCUUGCUUUAGAUAAUCAAUCACAUUAUCUAAUUAAACUAGAAUGCAACAAUAUUAUUUGGUUUUUGUAUUCAUAGAACUGAUUUAAAUGAAGCUAAAUAAAAUGAAAGUCUAAUUCUCAUUUAAAGAGUGUUACAUCCCACAUUGCCCAAGGGAGUGGAUCCUUUAUGCCUUAUAUGUACAUGCUCACCUCCAUUUAGCACGAGGCCUUUUGGGAAUUCACUGGCUUCGAAUUCUAUCUUAACUCUGAAGUUAAGCGAGUUCGCGCCAGAGCAAUCCUAGGAUGGGUGACCCACUGGGAAGUUUUCGUGUGAAUUCCCAGAAACAAAACUGUGAGGACAUGGUCAGGGCCCAAAGCGGAUAAUAUCGUGCUACAGCGGAGUCGAGCCCGGGAUGUGGUGGAGGUUGGGUCGGGAUGUGACAAUUUUGUAUCAGAGCCAAUCCCUGGCCGGAAGUGUGCCAACAAGAACGUCGGGCCUCUAAGGGGGUGGAUUGUUAGAUCCCACAUCGCCUAGGGGAGUGGAUCCUUUAUGCCUUAUAUGUACAUACUCACCUCCAUUUAGCACGAGGCCUUUUGGAAACUCACUAGCUUCGGAUUCCAUUGAAACUCCAAAGUUAAGCAAGUUUGUGCGAGAGCAAUCCCAGGAUGGGUGACCCACUAGGAAGUUCUCGUGUGAGUUCCUAGAAACAAAACCGUGAGGGCGUGGUCGGGGCCCAAAGCGGACAAUAUCGUGCUACGGCGGAGUGGAGCCCAGGUCGAGAUGUGACAAAGAGGGAAAGUUAUUUUGUUUGCUAGCUAAUUUGAGCCAAAAUGCAAUAAUAUCAACUUUUCUAAAUACAAAAAUAUUCACAACUUCAUGGUAUUAUAACUAGAACCUAAAAUUUUCAACAAUUACAAAAACUUCAUUAAAAGAAAAAAACAAUUUAGUGAAUUUGGGCCUUUAUGCAAAAAUAUAAACUUUUGGGUCAAAGUGAAAAACACAAAAGUAUCAAAACUUUAUGUAAUUGCAAGAAAGACCCAAAAGACCCCACUUGCAUAGGGUGGCCGGUUUUGGUAGAGAGAAAGUGAGUGAAAAUUUCAUAAAAAUCAAAGUGUGAGGAAAGAGAGGAAAGUGUGAUGAGUAGAAAAGUACCAUUCAAAUCACACAAAUAAAGACAAGCGAAGACUAAACAAAACACAGAAAUUUUGCAUCAGAACUCCCCCAACGUUUUGUUCUUGCUAUAAACAUGAAUAACAGAACAAUAACCCAUAACGAGCUUCAUGGAUAUUUUUCAUCCAAAGAAACCCAAAACUCUCUCAAACAAAAGGGGUUUCUAAUGUCACUUUAAAACUCUUUUAACAAGACAAACAUGAACCCAAAUUCCACCACAUGUAUUUGGCCAAAUUUCCCCACUAACAUGGCUCCAAAUUUUAGCUCCAAAUUUUAUGCUCAAAUCAACUACAACUACUACUUUUGAGAUUGCAAAUUUUCAAACAAAAUUUACGUUCAAAGAAGCAAGAAUAACCGUGUAACUAUUAUAAAAUUAAAAUCAUAAGCUAUGAACAACAAAAGCCAAAAAGUUCACCAACUACUAGGCCUAGGCUCUUGAUACCACUUGAAGGAAAUUUGUUUGCUAAAUUAAGUUUAUUGAGCAACAUAUUACAUGCAUUUAACUAUUAAUUGGCGGAAGCAUGCUUGUAUGCACUCUAGAACAAAACUUAAACCAUGAAAUUCAAAACCUAAUAUAUUGGUGAACCGAAGACUCAACUCAUGAGACAAAAAGAGAUAAGAUUGCUUUAUACCUUUGAAGUUCCUCUUUGCAUAAGCGAAGGCUAAUCACCAUGAGAGGGCCUUCAUUCCUCUCCUUGAGUUGAACUCUUUGGCCUUCAUCUUCAUGUUUUUGCCUCCUUGAAUUCUAGGAUUUGGUUGACUGAAUGAUUCUCCAAAAACCCCCAAAGUAAAGGCUCUAAGUUCCAACACCAAUGAUGGUUCAGGAAGAAGAUGAGUAAUCAUGGAAGAAAAUAUUGGUAGCUAAAUCUUCCAUGGUGGCCAGCCUCCUUUAGAGAAAGAGAGAGUUUGUGUUCUCUCAUAUUUUCUCAAAGAUAACCCUAAUGAGGUUAAAGGUAUAAAUGCCUUUAUACCUCUUUCGAAUUGAGUGGCAAGCUUGUAAUAAGUCAACCAUCAUUCUCCCUCUAGCAUGGCUGGUUUUGGUGUUUGUGUUUUGGUUAAUUCCUAUUUUGUUUUAGUUGUCAUACAAUUUAAACUCAAUGGGUCUUAUGGACCCCAAACUCAUUUGAGCCCUGAAACCCAAAACCAAUUAAACCCUAAUACAAACUUUUUGUAUGAUUAAUUAACCAAUUAAUUAAUCUUGACCAUAUACAAUUAGGAAUUGGAUUCUCUGCCCUCCCAAUUCGGUGCCCUCCUCGUGCCCUCCUGUUUGUGUGGUCACGGUUAAGCCACGUCAAUAUUUUAUAUUACUUUUUUUUUUUGUCUUAUUAUUUUUAUAAAAAACAAUAUAAAAUGUUAGCAUGGAUUAACCGUGACCACACAAAAUAGGAGGGCACGGGGAGGGCACCGAAAUGGGAGGGCAGAGAAUCCAAGUCCAUACAAUUAACCUAUUUUACUGUCCUUACUCAACUUUGUUAUAUCCUUCAAUCAUUACCUUACUUAGUGUGCGAUAUAUUAGUUUUCCAUAUAAAGAGGCAGUAGGCAAUUAGAUCUCUUAAUAAUUGAUGGUGAAUUGAAAUUUACUUUCAAUUCUCCCUUUGUGAUUCUUUAUCUUCAAGGCUUUCACAAACCAUGAGUGACACCUUAAUCAGAAAAGGUUGGGCUAUCAAUGCAAUUGACCCUUCUUUAAUAUAAUACUCUUGAUUACAUUGUUUGAUUGAUAGUUUGUUCAUGUCUGCUAUCCAAUGUGAUUCUCCUGUCUACAAGACUACCUUGAAACUGAUUUGGAACGACUUCCUAAAUCUCAUUCAUACUUUGGCCAGAGAUUGUUAAUCAUAUCAUAGAGUAAUCUCCCUCAACAGUUGAAAGGUUAGAGAUCCCUUAUUGUACAUUCACGUGCCCACGUGAUUAAGUAGGUUAGCCCCAACAAUGUCGCGGACACUUGCAAAUGGAAGUCCUUUAACAUAAUCAAAGACUAUUGACCUAAUCACAAGACAACUAUAGUGUCCUCAUGUCAAAAAACUACUUUGCAUUAUCCAAUUAUAAGUUCUCAUGUGACAUUAGGGCUGGGUUUGGUACCAUUCAGUUCGGUUUUUUACCGAAACCAAAAAUCGAACCAAAGUUACUAUUUGGUCCGGUUUGGUUCAAUUUUUUUUUUAAUAAUACAAUGAAAGUUGAAGAAACGGGAAGAAAAACAAAUCUUUAGCUAAAAAUAGCACUUCAAAUCCAUUCAAAUCAAACAUAAUUUUUAAAAUAAAAAAUACCAAAUUCCAGAUCAAUAAAAUUGCAGACCCAUGUCACUCAUAUCUAUGAAAAUUAAGCCAUAUCAAAGAAUAAAAUCGACAAUAAUUAUAUACAAUUUGCACCACACUUAGUCGAAUCUUCCAGAUCAAAGCUCAGUGACCGAGGAGAACAAGUCCAUCAUAACAGUUGUGGUGAAAUGUGGCUAGAUCUGGUGCAUGUCAACAAUGGCGAGCGAGAACCACCUUGUUAUCGAGAAUGGCGGAAGCCAUGGAUGACUUCGGCGGAGGUAUGAGUUGGACAGUGGGAUAAAGAGAGAUGCAGCAGGGGAGAAAAAAAGAAAGGGAAAGAAAUGGGUGAGAGGGAGAUGAGAGAAUAGAAGAAGAAAAAAGCAAGAGAGAAAUGGGAGAGGAAGGUGGCGGCAUGAGAGGAAAAAAAAGGAGAAAAAAAUGGAGAGAAGGAACACGGCUGGGGAGAAGAAAAGAAUGAAUAAUUAGUAUGCUAAGGUUUCUAACUUUCUAAUAGGAGGCCUAACAUUCUAUUUGGGCUUGAAAGGUUUGAAGUUUGGGCUUAGAAGUAGUUUGGAAAUAAAUACUCAUUAUAUAUAAUAAUUAAAAAUUAAAAUUAAUAUAUAUUUAUUUGGUUCGUUCGAUUUUGUACUUUUGGUUUUUUCGGUUGCGGUUUCGGUUUUCGGUCCCCUUUUUUUCGGUUUUUCAACCCGCCCCUAUGUGACAUGCAUGUGAGAACUCCAUGUUGAUCACAUUCGUUGGACUCAAUCUCUAUUGAGCACAUACGUACUUGUCUUGGUGUCAUUUAUACCAUUGACUCGAUACCAAUCACUCUCUCAGGAGAGAAGACAUAGUACUAUACGAUUGAUCACUAUCUGGACUCAAAUCAAUGCACAAUAGACUAUACUACGAAUUAUCUAUUGUUAAUAAAAUCGUCUAUAUUCAGAAAAAAUAGAAUGUGUAUACAAGAAAAAGGAUUCAUGAAUAUAACUUCUUUAGAACAUAUUAUUUGCCUUCAACUAAACUAGUUGAAUUUAUCGUGUGAAAUAUUCAUAAAAUAUCAUUUUACGAUUAACUUUAGGGCACAUUACACGUUCAGAUGUUGAUUUGUAAGAUUUUGACCAAGGAUUUGGCCGUUAUAAUCCAUGUAACAUCCAAUACUCCAAAACAUUGUAGAAAAUUACCAAGUUAAAAAUCCUAACGACAAGUUAUGAUUGGGCUUGUGCUUCAACAGAGUCGACAAAUGGUACAUACAUGGACAAGAAUCGUUGUCCGAAAAAUAUAGACAUGCAGUUGCAGAUUCAUUGUUUCCUCACUCGGGAAAUUAAGGGAACACUACCUCAACCUACAUGCUCCACUCACAAAGCUUCAACAUACAAGCUUCAACAAAAGAAAAUUCAAAGAACUUAGCGAAGAAGGCUUUGGUGUAUUUAACACAAUACGUUGAAAUGAAGGAAAGCUUAUUUAUUGAUAUCCCCGAAUAGUUACAAAUAUGUACAUAUACUUGAGUCAAAAUAAACAAACAAGAGGGAGCCUUCACAAAGGUUGCUUAGGAGAAGUCUCAGCAGUCGGUAGAGCCCCAGAAAGAGAAGGCACCGGAGGGGGAUCAUUCAGAGCCUCAGUACUGGACAGAACCCUAGAAGGAGGAGGCAUCAGAGGUUGAUCAUUUGGAGCUUCAUUACGCGGUACAGCCCUAGAAGACGAAGGCAAUAAAUGCCUUUGGAACAAACCCACAAAUCUCUGAUGAUCAAGUAAAACCUGACCAUCAGAUUCCUUCAUCUGGUCAAGCUUCCUCUUCAUGUUUGUAGCAUAGUCAUGUGCGAGCCGGUGCAACUGUUUAUUCUCAUGCUUGAGCCCUCUAAUCUCCUAUUUGAGACUCAUCACUUCAGCCGCCAAUGAUUCAACUUGGCGGGUUCGAGCAAAUAGGCGUUGGGCCAUAUUAGACCGUUUGGACACUGAACACUGAGAGCCAGAGAAUCCUUAACAGCCAACUCAUCAGACCGUUUGGAAAGUAGUCUGUUAUCUUUGGGAGUGAGAAGGUUCCUGGCCACUACUGCAGCGGUCAUAUCAUUCUUCAUCACGGAAUCCCCAACGGUAAGAGGACCAGUAGGGGAGACGAAGGAUGGGCGCCAUAUGUUGUCUGGAGAAGGCGGGGCUGCCUCUUCAACAAGGUUCAAGUCAAAACGACGGUCGGAGGGGCCAGACAUUUUCAAAGGUGUUGAAGAGAGAAGAGGUCGGACAAAUCAAGAUCUUAGAAGUGCAAGAAUAGAGCUUCUACUGGUGGAUAUUCAAGUGUGCUUUGGAACUUAAUGUCAGCCCCUAUAAAAAUCUGCACUCGACGAAGCUUCAGAAAUCGAAGAAGCGCCUGCUCAGAAAUCGAAAAGGCGUUUGCUUUCUCAAAAGCUGGGCUGCUCAGAGACCACGAGGGUCGAUCUCAGAAAUCGAAGAGGCGUCUGCUUUCUCAAAAGCUGGGCUGCUCAAAGACCAUGAAGGCCGAUCUCAGAAAUCGAAGAGGCUUGCUUUCUCAAAAACUGGGCUGCUCAGAGACCACGAAGGCCGAUCUCAAAAAUCGAAGAGGCACAUACUUUUCCAGCUUUGUCAGCACCUGUCACACGCACACUCAGCUUUGCGGAAAUUAUGGGCAUUCUGUCGAAGAUUUCUGGCGAAGUAGAAAGCACAUGAAUCGUACUGUUCAAUCACCCACUUCCCACACGCAACAGUAGCUCAUGGGUACCACAGAUAACUUUGCCAAAGUUCUUUGACAAAGUUGAGACACGUGAAGCUUGCAGCUCCCACUACAUCGCUCUGACCAAGAAGGGUAAAAGAAUAGCAAAUAAACAACACUAACAAAGUUUAGACACAUAAAUUUUGAAGGUCUAGCUACCAUAUUAUUACCCACAAGGGUAAAGGAAUAGUACCACUGCUGGAUAAUUGGAAAGUCCCGGUGUAUCAACCUCUGUGCUUCGUGGCAAGGUAGACUAGCAAACAUGCCCAACCUUUACUCACAUUCGAGAAAACACUCCCAACAAGAUUGCUUGCUCCAAAAUCGAAGAGGCACCGCCCUUCGAAUCUCGAGAGCCAGACUCCCAACAUGAUUACUUUCUCAAAAAUCGAAGAGAGGGUAAAGGAACAGUACCACUGCUGGAUAAUUGCAAAGUCCCUGUGUGUCAACCUCUGUGCUUCGUGGCAAGGUAGACUAGCAAACAUGCCCAACCUUUACUCACAUUCGAGAAAACACUCCCAACAAGAUUGCUUGCUCCAAAAUCGAAGAGGCACCGCCCUCCGAAUCUCGAGAGCCAGACUCCCAACAUGAUUACUUUCUCAAAAAUCGAAGAGAGGGUAAAGGAACAGUACCACUGCUGGAUAAUUGGAAAGUCCCUGUGUGUCAACCUCUGUGCUUCGUGGCAAGGUAGACUAGCAAACAUGCCCAACCUUUACUCACAUUCGAGAAAACACUCCCAACAAGAUUGCUUGCUCCAAAAUCGAAGAGGCACUGCCCUCCGAAUCUCGAGAGCCAGACUCCCAACAUGAUUACUUUCUCAAAAAUCGAAGAGACACCCCUCCCCGAAUCUCGAGAGCCAGACCCCCAGCAGGAUUGUUUUCUCAAAAAUCGAAAAGGCAUCGUUCUCCGAAUCUCGAGAGCCAGAUCCCCGACAGGAUUGCUUGUUCGAAAACCGAAGAGGCACCACUUUCCCAACUUCAAGAGCUGGAUCUCCUUGGAUAAAGCUUAUCUGUAAUCUUCACACGCAACAUCAGCUUUCCAGAUACCAUAGACCACUUUUUCAAAGUGCUCUGACAGAGUUAAAACAUGUGAAGUUGGCAGCUCCCACUACCGUGCUAUGACUAAGCAGGGUAAAGGAAUAGCAUUAUUACUUGAUGUUAGGGAGACUCCUAUAUAUGUCGACCUCCAUCCCCAACGGACAGCUAGACCUGCAAAAAUGCUCAACCCUUCCUCUUAUCUGAGAGGGCACUCCCAACGAAGCCUUUCAAAAUAUUCAGCUUUCUUUCCCCCCGAUAAUACCUCUGUAAACAAGCUAUACUAGAGCAAGAAUAUCUCAUAUCAUCAGGGUUAAAAGCAAGAGUAUCCCAUAUCAUGCUUUUUCCCUGUCUUUUCCUUUGGCCUUGUUCUUACCUGCAAGACAAGGAGAAAGAGAGCAAUCAGUCAGCACUUGGAAUCAAGCUUCCAGCCAGGAACUGACUGCCUGGAACCCCUUACCUGAUUACUUACCUGGCAUUGCUCUCGAGUACUCAUCUUCAACAUCUUAUGCUUCUAGGGAAGAUACCGCAUCUGCCUGAGGAACAUAUAGGGCAAGUGAGAAAGAUACAAGGAAGCAUGUGGAGACAAGUGUAACAGCACACGUGCCGAUACAUCCACUACUCUGUCAAAAGCAAACGUAUCCCAUAUCAGUAGGGUCGAACGUACUCUAGAUUUGAUGGACUUGUUUUGACCCUCAAAUUCUUCAGUCGACCUUAUACUCUGGAGGAAACCAGAAAACCCUCAAGCCCAGUUCAAGAAUAAGCCUGUGGAAAGUUACUUCUUCAAAAGCAAAAGUAUCCCAUAUCAUCUCUUCUCAUUUUUCUUCUCUUUAUCCUUCAUACUGCCUGCAAGAUAGGGAGAAUGUGAACAAUCAGCCGGAGCUCUGAUUGCUUACCUUGUCUGUCACCUCUUUCAGCAGAUCCCCUAACUCGGCGACUUGGGGGACUCCUACUACAUGGUUUGUAUCGCGCUUGACCAAGCCUGAAACUACAAGUAAGCUUCAAGUGAAAUUGAUACAUUACCUUGUGCAUCUCCACCAGUUACAGAUACCACCCCUGGAUGGAGGAAGAGUACUUCCAGAGAAGAUGCACAAUCUACCUAUAAGACAGAUAAGGCAAGUCAAGACGAUACCACACUCCGGUACUUAGAAGUUUCGUGGUUACGAGAUCAUUCUCCCACAAUAUUUCCUAAUGUCAUUUGUACUAAAUCAUUCACUUGUACUCACUAAAGGAGAGCUUGAACCUAUGUACUUGUGUAAACCCUUCACAAUUAAUGAGAACUCCUCUAUUCCGUGGACGUAGCCAAUCUGGGUGAACCACGUACAUCUUGUGUUUGCUUUCCUAUCUCUAUCCAUCUAUAUACUUAUCCACACUAAUGACCGGAGCAAUCUAGCAAAGAUCACAAAAAGUGACCGUUUUCGCUACCUAGGAUCUAUCUUGCAAGAGAACGGAGAAUUAGAUGGAGAUCUCAACCAUAGAAUACAAGCUGGAUGGAUGAAGUGUAAGAGUGCAUCCGGCGUGUUGUGUGACCGUCGUAGGCCACUGAAGCUCAAGGGAAAAUUUUAUAGGACGGCAAUAAGGCCAGCGAUGUUGUAUGACACAGAAUGUUGGGCAACGAAGCAUCAACACGUACACAAAAUGGGUGUAGCGGAGAUAAGGAUGCUUCGUGGGAUGUAUGGGCACACGAGAAAGGAUAAGAUUGGGAAUGAGGAUAUUCGAGGUAAAGUAGGAGUAGCCAAAAUUGAAGGAAAUAUGAGAGAAAAUCGGUUCCGAUGGUUUGGACAUGUGCAAAGAAGGCCUACUGACGCUCCGGUUUGAAAAUGUGACUACGGGAUAGAGGUUCAGGACCGAAGGAGUAGAGGAAGACCUAGGAAAACUUUGGAAGAGACCCUAAGAAAAGACUUGAGUACUUGGAUCUAACGGAGGACAUGACACAAAACCGAGCGUAAUGGCGUUCUAUGAUUCAUAUAGCCAACCCCACUUAGUGAGAAAAGGCUUUGUUGUUGUUGUUGCAGAUUCAUUGUAAACGAGGAGAUAGCCUACACAUAAAUUUGAGUCUUCCAUCCAACAUAGAACAUUGAAUCCUCCCACAAAGUAAAAGGUGCACAAUAGACCAGAAACUGAAACAAUUAAAAGGGAGAACACAAAAAAAAAGAACUGCCAAACCAUUGUCAAAGGACCACAACAUGAGUCUACUACUUUCUUUCAAGGCUUGAUUACAAAAACCAUAACAUAAAAAUGGAAGCUAGGAAUCCCAAAUUAAAAUUAAGCCCUCUUCCUUUUUUUUUUUUUUCCCUUUUCUUUGGUUCUCAAGUGAGUUGGGAUUUUGACAUGAGUAUCACUUGGCCAUCAUCACCUU